Molecule: ribosomal RNA, 465 nt
Filed under: Vreelandella stevensii
Lineage: Bacteria; Pseudomonadati; Pseudomonadota; Gammaproteobacteria; Oceanospirillales; Halomonadaceae
Description: partial 16S ribosomal RNA
Rfam family: Bacterial small subunit ribosomal RNA
Source: RNAcentral
CCUACGGGGUGCAGCAGUGGGGAAUAUUGGACAAUGGGCGAAAGCCUGAUCCAGCCAUGCCGCGUGUGUGAAGAAGGCCUUCGGGUUGUAAAGCACUUUCAGUGGGGAAGAAAGCCUUGGGGCUAAUACCCUCGAGGAAGGACAUCACCCACAGAAGAAGCACCGGCUAACUCCGUGCCAGCAGCCGCGGUAAUACGGAGGGUGCGAGCGUUAAUCGGAAUUACUGGGCGUAAAGCGCGCGUAGGCGGUCUGAUAAGCCGGUUGUGAAAGCCCCGGGCUCAACCUGGGAACGGCAUCCGGAACUGUCAGGCUAGAGUGCAGGAGAGGAAGGUAGAAUUCCCGGUGUAGCGGUGAAAUGCGUAGGGAUCGGGAGGAAUACCAGUGGCGAAGGCGGCCUUCUGGACUGACACUGACGCUGAGGUGCGAAAGCGUGGGUAGCAAACAGGAUUAGAUACCCCAGUAGUC